GCUGGGCAUGGUGGCGCGUGCCUGUAAUCCCAGCUACUCGGGAGGCUGAGGCAGGAGAAUUGCCUGAACCCAGGAGGCAGAGGUUGCGGUGAGCCGAGAUCAUGCCAUUGCACUCCAGCCUGGGUAACAAGAGCGAAACUCCGUCUCAAAAGAGAGAAAAAAAAAAAAAAAGACAAGAGUUUUCUCUCUUGUUGCCCAGGCUGGACUACAGUGGCUCGAUCUCGGCUCACUGCAACCUCGGCAUCCCAGGUUCAAGUGAUUCUCCUGCCUCA
RNAcentral lists this signal recognition particle RNA (272 nucleotides) under Saimiri boliviensis boliviensis (Bolivian squirrel monkey). RNAcentral describes it as "Metazoan signal recognition particle RNA (ENSSBOG00000003099.1)". It matches the Rfam family "Metazoan signal recognition particle RNA". Rfam says of the family: The signal recognition particle (SRP) is a universally conserved ribonucleoprotein. It is involved in the co-translational targeting of proteins to membranes. The eukaryotic SRP consists of a 300-nucleotide 7S RNA and six proteins: SRPs 72, 68, 54, 19, 14, and 9. The record is from RNAcentral. Lineage: Eukaryota; Metazoa; Chordata; Mammalia; Primates; Cebidae.